GAGAAGAGGGAGAAGGACCAGAGAGAGAGAGAAAGUGGAAAACGUUCCAAAAAAAAAAACAACGCACAGAACAGAGACACAAGAACACAUUAACAAAACGGUAGAUGUUUCAAAAAUAAGAAAGAAUCCGAAGGGAAGAAAGGAAUCCCUAGCGACAAGGCUUUUUUCAUUUGGCCAUGGAUCAAUCAAUAUCUUUCUAUUGAUUAUCGAAUCACUCUUCUGCCCCGCACUAACCGGAGAGAUUGAAUUGAUCCAACUCAAAUGGCCAGUAAACCUUUGCCUGAUCAGAAUCUUCCAUACCUGCAAUCCCUCGCUAGGGUUUCAAGUGCGACAUAACGUUAAGAACGAAGAACGAAUCUAUUUGUUGCAGGUUUUUGUUCUUUAAUUGUUAUUUUGUUUGAAUCGUGCGGGCUGUGUGAAUAGAACUCUACGCCCAUGGCGCCGGCUAAAGGAUGUGUGUUGGUGUUGGACAAAGUCAGAAGAUGUGUUCGCACGGUGAUUUUCAUGGUGGCGAUGGUGGCGUCGCUGCUGGUGUCGUCUAUGCCGGUGCUGGUGGCGAUCGGGGAUGUUUUGGUGCCGUGCGUGUUGGUUUCCAGUUUUACUUGUUUGAGUUGCUAUGGAUUUAAGGAGCAUUUGCAUAGAUACGCCUUCAAGAGCUCCUUGACAGAUAUUCCUCUUGUUUCCGUUGUCAGAUCUCUUAUCAUCAUCUGUGUUUAUUUGAUGUGUGAUGCCCCUGCUCUCUCACAUGGUCCCUAUCUUGGAACUGUGACACUCUGUUCUGUUGUUUCAGUUCUUCUUCUUUCAGUUAAGGCUUGUGUUUUCACUGUGAAUUCUCAAAUUGAGGCUGAAGCUUCGACUUCCCUUUCAAGGCAAAAGCUCCAUUUGAAGAAGUCAUGGGGAAUGCCUGUCUUAUUUCUGUCAUCAGUGGUUUUCGCACUUGGCCACACUGUGGUUGCUUACAGAACAAGCUGCAGAGCGCGGAGAAAGCUUUUGUUUCACCGAGUUGAUCCAGAAGCUGUGCUAUCUUGCAAAAGUGUUUUCUCUGGUUAUCAGAAGGUGCCUCGGUCUCCCACUCCAACUGCAGGAAGAACCCCAAAAAGUGACAGUGAAAUGAGGCGAAAACCAUUUGGAUCUGUUCAUGAUGAAGGGGAACUCCCAAUCAGAUUGCUCGCUGACAUAGAUAGCUUAUUCAUUACGUGCCAAGGGCUUACUGUACACUACAAGCUCUGUCUGCCUGGUUCCCCCCCUCGUUCUUUAUCUUCCACUGCUUUUCUUGAACCUUCUCCUAGCUGUAGCUCACCAAAGAUGACAGGAGGACGGCUUAAACUUGAGAGGCAGCCAUUCAAUGCAUUAUUGAAAACCCAGCAUAAUCUCCAUAGGAGUUACAGCAAUCAAUUUCACAGCUCUUCCUUAUAUGCUCCAUUAUUGGACGUUUCUCCAACUUCUGCUGUGCUCUCCGAAGAAAUUCCUGUUUUGAACCUAGAUGAUGCGAUUGAGGAGAAUGAAAUAAGCAAAGGAAACUAUGGAUCUCCUGAGCAAGAUAUGGAGGAAAAUGGCCAGUUUGGUAUCGUUCUAAUUCAUGGCUUUGGGGGAGGUGUCUUCUCAUGGAGGCAUGUGAUGGGGGUUCUCGGUCGGCAGGUUGGUUGCACAGUUGCCGCUUUUGAUCGGCCUGGUUGGGGAUUAACUUCUCGGCCUCGUCGGAAGGAUUGGGAAGAUAAAGAAUUGCCAAAUCCAUAUAAGCUUGAAACUCAGGUUGACCUGCUUCUUGCUUUCUGUUCUGAGAUGGGGUUUUCUUCAGUGGUGCUUGUUGGUCAUGAUGAUGGAGGCUUGCUUGCUCUGAUGGCUGCACAAAGACUUCAAACAUCCAUGAAUUCUUUCAAUGUUACAAUAAAGGCAUUGGUAUUGCUAAAUGUCAGUUUGUCAAGAGAAGUGGUUCCUGCCUUUGCUAGGAUACUCUUGCGUACUUCACUUGGGAAGAAGCACCUGGUUCGCCCCCUACUUCGAACAGAAAUUGUUCAAGUGGUGAACAGGCGUGCAUGGUAUGAUUCUGCCAAGCUAACAGCAGAGACUUUAAGCCUCUAUAAGGCCCCUCUAUAUGUGGAAGGUUGGGAUGAAGCACUCCACGAAAUAGGCAAACUUUCAUGUGAGACUGUCCUCUCACCGCAGAUUUAUGCAUCAUUGCUGAAGGCAGUAGAAGACAUGCCGAUAUUAGUCAUUGCUGGUGCUGAAGAUGCCCUUGUCCCUCUCAAGUCCUCCCAAGUCAUGGCUUCAAAACUUGUAAAUUCUGUAAGUGUCUUUCUUCUCCAUUUCACAGCUUCCAACAUUGUUGGAGUCUUUAUGUUGGAUCAAAGAAUCAUACAUUUACCAAGACCACAGAAGUUAAAAUCUCGUGGCUUCUUAGUGCUAAUCGCAUGAAAUCAAGAUCAACAAUUUCCAUUGAAAAUGUCUUACUGGGAUACUAACUGGUUUUCAAGUGGCACUGCUAAAAUUUAAUUAAUUCUAGGAAAAGUUCUAAAUGGAAGAAUAUCACUUAAUUGAUUAUUGCUUUUCCUUUUAUUUUUUCCUACUCAGAGACUGGUUGCCAUAUCAGGAUGUGGCCAUCUUCCACAUGAGGAGUGCCCCAAGGCAUUACUUGCAGCUAUGUCGCCCUUCAUAAGCAGACUAUUGUUGAGAUCAGAUUUGGAAAACCAAUAGGAUACCUCUUUUUAACUUAUCAAUAGGCUUUUAUCUGUUGUAGGCGUUUUUCUUGCUUCUCUUUUUUCUACGCCUUACCUUUCCUCCCCUGCUCCCUUCCCUUCUCUUUUUUCUUGUUCUUGUUUUUGUUUUUUCCCAAGCAAUUUACCCUUAGUGGGAGACAAAUACUGUCUCUCCUCUGGGGUAUUUUUGGUGUUCUAUUCUCAAGCCUUUGUCCAAGCCCUGAUUCCCUAGAGUUUUAUAUAAGCUUCUCAUAUGUAUUUUUAAAAAUGUUCUUUAAAUUUUCCUCUUGAAGAUCCAAGUAAUUGAAAGCUUGCUGUUUCCCGCUUAAAAGCAGUGGGAAAUGGUUCAUAUUUUGUACAUUCAUCUGAUUGAAAUGCAUGCAUUCGAGAAUGGUGUGUUCCAGAAUUCUUUCAAACUUUUCUUGCCUCUCCUAUGUAAAUAGAUGCUC
RNAcentral lists this unclassified non-coding RNA (3145 nucleotides) under Hevea brasiliensis (rubber tree). The record is from RNAcentral. Lineage: Eukaryota; Viridiplantae; Streptophyta; Magnoliopsida; Malpighiales; Euphorbiaceae.